RNAcentral lists this ribosomal RNA (497 nucleotides) under uncultured bacterium. RNAcentral describes it as "partial 16S ribosomal RNA". It matches the Rfam family "Bacterial small subunit ribosomal RNA", at positions 28 to 507 of the family's 1533-position model. The record is from RNAcentral.
GAUGAACGCUGGCGGCGUGCCUAAUACAUGCAAGUCGAGCGAACGGACGAGAAGCUUGCUUCACUGAUGUUAGCGGCGGACGGGUGAGUAACACGUGGAUAACCUACCUAUAAGACUGGGAUAACUUCGGGAAACCGGAGCUAAUACCGGAUAAUAUUUUGAACCGCAUGGUUCAAAAGUGAAAGACGGUCUUGCUGUCACUUAUAGAUGGAUCCGCGCUGCAUUAGCUAGUUGGUAAGGUAACGGCUUACCAAGGCAACGAUGCAUAGCCGACCUGAGAGGGUGAUCGGCCACACUGGAACUGAGACACGGUCCAGACUCCUACGGGAGGCAGCAGUAGGGAAUCUUCCGCAAUGGGCGAAAGCCUGACGGAGCAACGCCGCGUGAGUGAUGACGGUCUUCGGAUCGUAAAACUCUGUUAUUAGGGAAGAACAUAUGUGUAAGUAACUGUGCACAUCUUGACGGUACCUAAUCAGAAAGCCACGGCUAACUACGUG